This 138-nucleotide ribosomal RNA is filed under the name uncultured eukaryote. RNAcentral describes it as "partial 18S ribosomal RNA". It matches the Rfam family "Eukaryotic small subunit ribosomal RNA", at positions 1299 to 1458 of the family's 1831-position model. The record is from RNAcentral.
UGGUGGAGUGAUUUGUCUGGUUAAUUCCGUUAACGAACGAGACCUUAACCUACUAAAUAGUGACGCGGUUCCCGAACCGCGGUCCACUUCUUAGAGGGACUAUCAGCGUUUAGCUGAUGGAAGUUUGAGGCAAUAACA